Erinaceus europaeus (western European hedgehog) is the source of this 309-nucleotide unclassified non-coding RNA. Its record names the gene 7SK. It matches the Rfam family "7SK RNA". Rfam says of the family: 7SK was discovered as an abundant small nuclear RNA in the mid-70s but a possible function has only recently been suggested. The record is from Ensembl. NCBI's taxonomy places the organism in Eukaryota, Metazoa, Chordata, Mammalia, Eulipotyphla, Erinaceidae.
GGAUGUGAGGGCAAUCUGGCUGCGACAUCUGUCAUUCCAUUGAUCGCCAGGGUUGAUUAGACUGAUCUGGCUGGCUAGGCAGGUGUCCCCUUUCUCCCUCACCGCUCCAUGUGUGUCCCUCCUGAAGCUGCCCGCUUGAAGAGGACGGCCUUCCCAGAAUAGAGACGGACCAGUCUUCAGUUGAGGGUAUACCAGUAGCUGCGCUCCCCUGCUAGAACCUCCAAACAAGUUCUCAAGAAUGAAAGAAUACUAUAUUAAAAUUUUUCCAGAGCAGAAGGAUUAGCUCAAUGAGUGUCCCAGACAAACUAU